AUUGAACGCUGGCGGAAUGCUUUACACAUGCAAGUCGGGCGGCAGCGCGGGGGCAACCCUGGCGGCGAGCGGCGAACGGGUGAGUAACACAUCGGAACGUACCCUGUCGUGGGGGAUAACGAAUCGAAAGAUUCGCUAAUACCGCAUACGACCUGAGGGUGAAAGCGGGGGAUCGCAAGACCUCGCGCGAGAGGAGCGGCCGAUGGCGGAUUAGCUAGUUGGUGGGGUAAAGGCCCACCAAGGCGACGAUCCGUAGCGGGUCUGAGAGGACGGCCCGCCACACUGGGACUGAGACACGGCCCAGACUCCUACGGGAGGCAGCAGUGGGGAAUUUUGGACAAUGGGGGCAACCCUGAUCCAGCCAUUCCGCGUGAGUGAAGAAGG
This 384-nucleotide ribosomal RNA is filed under the name uncultured bacterium. Its description in RNAcentral is "bacterial SSU rRNA". It matches the Rfam family "Bacterial small subunit ribosomal RNA", at positions 29 to 414 of the family's 1533-position model. The record is from RNAcentral.